UCUCCGUAGGUGAACCUGCGGAGGGAUCAUUACCGAGCUCAUGCCCUUACGGGUAGAUCUCCCACCCUGUGUUAUUAUUACCUUUGUUGCUUUGGCGGGCCGCCAGGCUCCGGUCAGGCUAUCGGCUUCGGCUGGUAAGCGCCCGCCAGAGGACCCUAUAUCCUGAUUAUUAGUGUCGUCUGAGUACUAUAUAAUAGUUAAAACUUUCAACAACGGAUCUCUCGGUUCUG
Molecule: unclassified non-coding RNA, 230 nt
Filed under: plant metagenome
Description: partial contains small subunit ribosomal RNA, internal transcribed spacer 1, and 5.8S ribosomal RNA
Source: RNAcentral